CGCACCCCCUCCCUCCUCGGUCUCCCCCUCUCUCCCUCGUCGGCUGCCACAACACGAAGCCAGGAAUCCUCCCCCUCCUUCUCCCUUGCAUGUGUGUGCCCGUCGUCGCCUUCCCCCCUCUUCCCCAUCGUUGCCCCAAUGCCUCCAUGGGCUACAACAGAUCUAUGGCUGAUGGGAGGGUACGAGGUAGAGAAGGACGCGUCGUCGGCCCGUCACUUAGGCUGGUGAAGCACAGGUCAGGUCUGGGCGCAACGACCGGCGCCUGCGGGCAGGGUCGGCCGUGGAGGGAGGCUCGCCGGCCGGAGAAGCAGGAGCAAGGAGCUUUCUUCUGAAGUGUGCAGAUUGUUAUUCCUUAUCAGGAAGGACAAUAUUCAUUUGAAGGACUUAUUAGACUCAGAAUAUUUAGCUGGUGGAUGUACGCAGGUUGGAGGAAUGAGAAUACUUAUGAGAUCACAUGAAUGAGAUAUUAAGCCCUGGAUGCCCAAAAUUGUAUCAUUGAUCCCACACAGUGGUUAGAAUCCCAGUCUUUGAAUCACAAUAGACAAGACCAUAUUUCACAUUUUGUAUAGUCCAGCCAAUAAUACACAUGGAGCCUGGUGAUGGUUUUCAAUAUAUUGUGAUAGUAGUUUCCUGCAUUGAUUAUUUCAUGAGCCACCAUUCCGUUUUAAACUCGAAGUGGUGCAAUAUUUAAAUAGAUGUGUUUGUGCCAUUUAGCCCCCAAAUUCAGUUCAGUUCCGUUGUACAUCUUUUACUGACCCCUUUUCUUGGUACUGAUUGACCUUUGUACGUUAAUAUUUUUAUUUGACUGCAUUUUCUCCUUUAGUCCUUCCUCUUAGUGUAUAAUCCUGAUUGUGUGUGUUUCUUUCCUAGUAGGGUAUUUAUGAUUCAGACCAUUCCAUAACAAAAUGCACAUAUGGCCUCACAGUAGGAGUUCAGCUUCAGACUGUCAUCAAGUUUGUCUCAAAUUUAUUGUUCCAGUUUGGAAUAGUGUACUUUCACAAGUAUUUUCUAACGAGUACAUAUAACACUUCCACAUAUUAUAUUACAAAAUGGAAGUACAGAGGAUAUAUAGAAGUUACGACCGUUGUGCAGCGUGAUCUCUGAAGAUGGAUUGCAGUUUGUCCAAUUUUUGCAGGGAUAUUGUGUGAGGUCUGCUACAAACUUUAAGAAAAUCACUUAGUACAUUCAUGGGAUCACCAACUUUUGGCAUUUGUUGAGACUACAGCUAGGCGCGAUGGCGGGCAUCUCCGGCAGCGGUAGUGACCUGCAGGAAAAAGGCGACAACGAGAGUGUUCAAUUCGAUCCAUCACCAUGGAUCGGUCCCUGCAGGAGAGAGAAGAUGAGGAAGAGAGAGAGAGAAGGAAGGAGAGGAGGGAGAAAGAGAGAGGGAGGUACGAUGGUGAAUGCACUGGACUCUUCAAGAUCAAGGGCACCAACAGCAAAAGGCCGAGUGCAUCCAUCGACAGCAUGCCCAAUGUCCGGAUUCACUGAGCAGUACAACCGGAGACGUUGUAGGCUGCCUGCAGGUCUGGAAACCAGACAACAUCUCUGAAACCCACUAUCUUCUUAUGCAUGAAUUUCUGCUCAGUUUGGCUACAUCUAAUUUGUUAUCGUUAAUCCUAUUCCAUAACGCAAAGUUGCAAACAUCCUGUUUUUUCAUCGAGAGGAAGAACAUUAAGAAUUUUCGCACAUUCUGUUGUAGCAAUAUUGACUGUAUGAAUACCAGUAAUGUGUUUGGCAGUUUGUUCUUGUGGCUUCCAAAAAACCUGGAAUGUUUGUUCUGCUGGUACAACUCUCUUUGGCUAGGACAUUUUGGCUUCAAAUAACAUCAAUGAACCUAAAAUUUCUUAAUAUUUUAUACCACCUUUUGUAUUGAUGUUCUUCAUGCAUGCUCAUCUGCCAAGAGGUCAUUCCAAUAAUAUCACGCGUUCCUCAGCAGGCGCCAAGCCGUCCACUGUUGUCUCUGCCCGAAGAAGGAUUAUGGUUCUCCACCUCUCUGCUACUCAUAUUAAAAUUCCGGCAUGUUCUUUCUUUCUUUCUUUCUUUAUUUUCUGUCAAGAAAAAGGUAGAACCUGUUCUUAAUUUUCCAUAAUGAUUUGAAUGCAAUUUGUCAGUGUAUUUCUAGCUGGAAUUGCAUGUAUAUCUUACAAAUUUACAUUGUAAGAAAUUAAUAACAAGAAUAGAAGCAUUUGCACCCAUCUAACAUGUUUGUCUGGUAUUUUUCAAAAAGCUCAAGGUUAGAGAUGUGGCGCUGUAUGAGACUAUCAUUAGGACAGAAGAUAAAUUAAUGUUAAAAUAUUGUUUGAAUUUUCUUCGUUCUGUAAACGGCAAUACAAGAUAUGUUGCACCAUGAUUCUAUUCCAAAAAAAAUAACAGCUGAUAAUUAACGACACAUCAAAUGUUCUGUUUUGAAAUGGAUCAUUUUGCCAGGUUGGGUUUAGUAGGUCAUAACGGUUUUAUUCAACGACAAGAUUAAUUUUGUUUAUACUUUAACCAGUUAAAGGAUUGGCGGUCAAGCCCUAUGAUCUUUGUACACCAAGGUUCAGUUGUGUUCUUUGUGAAAUAUAUGUCCUGCAAGUCUCAUGUGUCUUGCGUUAUUUUCGCUUUCCAAGCUACAGGAUUUUGAUAUACUUCAAACGUGAUUCUUUAUAUGUUGUUUGAUUCCAUCAAUCGUAAAACGUAAAUUAGCAAUUAGGCGUCUACAAAGUGUAGUGGAACCAUUGUGAUUGAUGCAGUUUUAUUUUAGUAUUGAAAUGUUUGUCUUAGUUUGUUUUGUGUUGAGAAAUAUAUUUGUUUUCCAGCCAUUGUUUUCUAAAUCCUAUCAACACAUUACCUGAUAUGGCCUUUGAAGUUUCUAUUUUAUAACGAUCUUAGUUGUAGUGGUCAACUUGAGUAUGGUAUUAUGGUAUAGUUUAUUCUUUUCUGUUGCAGCUAUUUCGGAGAAGUUUAGAGCUCUGCAAACUUUUGAGGACAUGAUUUACAAUAGCAGAGAUGAAACAAUCAAUCAGUUGAGAUGCAUUACGUCAUAUUUUUUCUCUGGACAUCGAUGUGUAUUGUAGACUCCUUUCUUUUGCCACAAAGGAUACGAGCUGUGCCAUUUGACUCGAAGGACAAAGCAUUCAUCACAAGGGGGUGGUCUUGAUAUAUACACAAAAGAGGAAAUUUCCUUUUGUAUAGAACCAAAUUAUAUGAUGUAAUUCAGUUCAAAUAAUAAUUUAUAUGAUGUAAUUGACCACUAUUUCUAAGAGAUUCUCCUCUA
Molecule: long non-coding RNA, 3259 nt
Organism: Triticum dicoccoides
Lineage: Eukaryota; Viridiplantae; Streptophyta; Magnoliopsida; Poales; Poaceae
Exons: 6
Source: RefSeq, a predicted model, not a curated record